This 242-nucleotide long non-coding RNA is filed under the name Phoenix dactylifera (date palm). RNAcentral's name for it is "long non-coding RNA (PDAC_LNC003561)". The record is from RNAcentral. Lineage: Eukaryota; Viridiplantae; Streptophyta; Magnoliopsida; Arecales; Arecaceae.
GAGUUUUCUUUUUCAUUAAAUAUAUAAAUGAUCCUCGAAUUUAAGUACCUGUCUUUCAAUUAAUUUCAAUUAGAAAACAUUCUCCGGUAGACCAGGGAAUCCAUCAACAUCUUCAAAAUAAUGUUUUUCUUUAAUCAUUCAAAAAUCGAUUUCAAAUCCGAGUGAACGUUCUGAUUUUUAUGCAACUCCAAUCGCCUCCCUGUGGAUCGACCUCUUACGACCGCUAUUCUUCGAGUAGAACA